UCGAAUCAAAGUGUGUCUAGUCUAAAGUGUUUUUUCAAUUUGUCCUUAAUAAAAAUUGUCCUAAGUUUUAUUUUCUGAAGCUUCUCUUUCUCAUAAAACAGCAAGUUGUGUUUUUCUAUCCCUUCUGGAGAAGCAAGACGUCAAUCAAAUAGAAUUAUCAAAGAAACUGAAACCUAAGACGAGUGAGAAGCUGCGGCCCAAUUCGAUGAGGU
Molecule: small RNA, 212 nt
Filed under: Drosophila ananassae
Lineage: Eukaryota; Metazoa; Arthropoda; Insecta; Diptera; Drosophilidae
Description: GF26455
Source: RNAcentral